RNAcentral lists this small RNA (143 nucleotides) under Flaviramulus basaltis. Its description in RNAcentral is "Flavo-1 RNA". It matches the Rfam family "Flavo-1 RNA". The record is from Rfam by way of RNAcentral. Lineage: Bacteria; Pseudomonadati; Bacteroidota; Flavobacteriia; Flavobacteriales; Flavobacteriaceae.
UUUUUGCGUUAGGGAUUGCAGUGAAAAUCCUUUUUUAAAAAUAGGGAAUUAAGCCCUUCUCUGUGAUAAAAAUUAACAGAUUAUCAAGUUGUUGACUUUUUAUAAUGACGUAAAAAAGAUUGUAACGUAAAGCCCGACCCUUG